AUUCCUUCUCUGCCUAUUGUCUAAAAUCAAAUGUAGUAUCUGUUCUCACCAUUUAAAGCAUGUGCUAUGUUGUGUAUCUGUGGACUGGGCAUUAAAUUAGAGUUAGAAGCUAGCUUGAAGCUUGCUUUAUCCACCCCAUGUCUCAGCCUGGAAUUACAUUACUUCCAGGAAUGGUGCAUUCCUU
Talpa occidentalis (Iberian mole) is the source of this 184-nucleotide small nuclear RNA. RefSeq annotates it as U2 spliceosomal RNA. The transcript has a single exon. NCBI's taxonomy places the organism in Eukaryota, Metazoa, Chordata, Mammalia, Eulipotyphla, Talpidae. The record is from RefSeq and is a predicted model, not a curated record.